Molecule: long non-coding RNA, 1249 nt
Organism: Cebus imitator (Panamanian white-faced capuchin)
Lineage: Eukaryota; Metazoa; Chordata; Mammalia; Primates; Cebidae
Exons: 2
Source: RefSeq, a predicted model, not a curated record
CAUGAUUUUUGCUCACCACAACCUCCACCUCCCAGGUUCAAGCAAUUCUCCUGCCUCAGCCUCCCAAGCAGCUGGGUUCGUUUCUUCUUGCUGAACUGGCUGAAUUAAGGGGAGUAGCUUAAGGCCUUGAGGAUUAUUAUAGACACAGAUGGACAGGCUUUACAAACUUGUCAAAAAAAAAGAGGGUUUUUUUGUUUUUUGUUUUUGUUUGUUUACAGCUGAUGGAGAUGGUCUCUCCCAAAGAGACAAGAAUUAUGGAGUGCCCUUAUUUCUGCUGGAGUACCUGAGGAAAACAAAGAACAUCUCCCAGUUUAUACAGUCUUUCAGGUCCCAGGGUAUAUUCACAAACUCUCAGUCUUCAAACGGUCCUGCAAUAGGAAUAUCAGCCUACUUUCCUCCCUUCUGGACAACGAUGGUCCUCCACAUUUUCCUCUGGACACUGCAUGUUGAACUUUCUGGAAGAACAUUGAGGGAAUCUGUUUCUGACAAAGAGCAAGAUAAUGACACACUGAUGAGUUCUUUAUAUCAGCAGGAAGUAGUUACAGAAGACCCACAGUGUCCCUAGACUCAAAGAUUUAUAGUCUCAAUCUAUUGAGGAGGAAAUUUUAGAGCAGGCAGUUAGACAUGAGCAGAAAAAAAGAGCUCCUGGGGGAGAAAUAAUCUCAUGCUCCAAAGACAACCCAAAACAUGUAUGCUAAAUUUGAACAGAGAGGAGUGGAAAUGCCUAUGAAUAAAGUACACCUGGAAACACCCCUUAAGACACCCAGUAAUUGCUCAUACUGUGAUUAAACUGUCAAGAUGUAGCUAGCUACAUGCUAAUAAAAAGGGGGAAAGGGCAAAAGGAAAAUUCCUAAGAGAUAUGUAGGCACAAUAAGUACAGAUUUGAAUGCUAUGUGAUUUUCCUGGGGUGAUGGUAAUAAGCAAUGCUGCCAUUAACUCAUUGAUCGCUGGAACAAUCAGCUGACAGUAAGGAAGCAUCUCACAGACCUGGGCAGAAACUCAGUGAGGAUAAAAAAAGAGAUUUACCUGGAAGCAGGAAACUAAACAAAGACAAAGGCCACUUAAGACAGAGAUGGAAAUUUUUUUGUUAAAAUCUAUGAUAAUAAAAACGGCAACAUGUAACUCUCAAGGCUGUUUCCAGCUGGACCACCCCCCUCCUCUUUUAGUGUGUACUUUAUUUUCCUUUAAUAAGCUCUUGGCUUGCUUCGCUAAUUGUCUCUGGGCUGAAUUAUAUCUCUCAAGAAAACAA